RNAcentral lists this long non-coding RNA (1970 nucleotides) under Amazona collaria (yellow-billed parrot). RNAcentral's name for it is "lncRNA (ENSACOG00000013618.1)". The record is from RNAcentral. Lineage: Eukaryota; Metazoa; Chordata; Aves; Psittaciformes; Psittacidae.
CCAUCUGGCUGCUCUCCCUGUGGGGAUGACAUUCAGCUGAUUCCAGUUGUAGCCACAGGAGCCUCAAAAGCAGCAUCUAAAGCAGGAAUGUGCAGCUCUGACGGUAGCUGCAUGCAGCUGUGGUUGAACAGUGCUGCAGCCUGCAACUACUCAUGUCCCAGCAACAGAAGCAAGAUGGAGAUGAGUAAGUUCAGUUUUGAGGUGAGAAAACCUCACAUCAACCGAGACAUUUAAAAUGAGAGAAGCUUGUGCUUUACUUUGGAAGGUGCCUCUAUCCAAUCCUUAGGUGAAGCCUGUCUCAUUGCACUGCAUGUGUGCAGGAAGUGAAGAUUGAGGCAAACUGCUCAUCUCUUGUGCUGCCAGGACAGUGUUUUCCAGAGGACAGACAUGUUAGUGAACACAAGCACAGGGCUUGCUCUCCCUGGGGUAAUGAAACCAGGAACGUAUGGGGGCAGUGCUUGGCCUUACUCUUUAGAGACACGCUGCUCAGGUACGAAGCCUGGAAAAGUGGAGGUUCUCGAGGGGCUGCAUUCAGCCUGUGCUGAGAGAGGCUCUGGCGCAUCACAGCUUGUUCCUGUGAGCGGUUUUACAGCACCCGCUUAGAAAGGGGUUGGUGACUGAGCAGAAGCAUCUCUGAUUCUGAAUGAGGCUCAGGCGAUUUCAGCCUCAAAACCCAAGUCAUCCUUAAUGUCCGGAGCCAUGGAAAUGAUGAUGCAACGGUGCUUGUGAACUGACAUGGCAUUUUUCCAUAGAUGACCUGUGAGCCCCUGCAGUCAGCACCCUCAGCAAGGUACAGCUAUGGGCUUUCGCUAAGAUUCCAGAAGUUAGAAGCUGAUCUCAACACUGUGGUGUUAGAAAGCCUUUGUACUGCUACCUCUGUAGCCUCAGUGCAACUGCUGGCGGAGCAGCCCCCUCCUGGUAGUUCCCUUCAAGAAGCGGCAGAGCCUCAUGCUAUUGUGGUUGCGCUUUGGAAGGAUCAGUCAUCUUGUCAGUUCUGUGUCGAGAAAGUGGCUGCUGCUGCUGCUGAGACUGAUGCUGCUGGUGGUGGGACUGAGUAAAAGUGCUUUGUUGUAGUGGGAAAGCAGCAGAAAGGAUGAGCUGAGCUGACUGAUUUCCAUGAAGUAACCUGGAUGUCUGGAACAUGGAAAUAGAAGACGAUUAUUUUUCCUGCUGCACUGAGAAACUGCAGGCCUGGCUACUUUCUACCUUUUCAUAAGGGCUCAAUCAAACUAAAUUUCUGAUUUGGUCAUUUAUGCUGAACAAACAAUGCAAAGAUUAGUUCAUACUAAUACAGUUAAUUAUAGCAUCUGACCAAUUAUCAAAGCAGCUGUAACUGGUCUUCAUAAUUUCCCAUGACAAUGGGUAGGAACACAUGGCAAUUUGUCUCCAGUUCAAACCACAAGAGCAUAACAGGGCUUAAGGAAUUCAUUUGAACAAAUGCAGGUGGCUGACAUUGCAAUCACAUGGAAAAACAGUGCAUGACUUGGCACAGAUCACAUUUAUGCCCACCCACCCAAAAUGAACAUUCUAAGAACCUGCUGCAUUUGCGGACUCAAACAUCCCCUUUGGAGAAGAUAUAUUAUUGCUGGAAAUACUACUUAGUUUUAAUAUUAACCUUCUUAGAACCAAAGAAGAAAAGCAACCAAGGAUAGCUAAAAAUGCCCUUGGAUAUCUCAAUCCUGAAACACGUUCUGCAACAGAAAUUAAACUGCAUUAACUGGUGCAUCUACACAAUCAGGUUGUAAGAAGGCUCAGUGAGCAGAGGCAGGAAAAGCACUUUUCUCCCUUCUUAAGGAGCAUUUGCUUCACUUCAAAUUCUAGCACUUCAGUAUUUUGAAUACAAACGAGUAACUUUUGCUUAGAAAGAAAUUCUAGAACAGGAACAAACUUUUGGAGAUCUUCAUCUUCCACAAAUCUUCUGUUUCAACAGAAUUAUGUCAAAAUUGUUCAAACUUUUAAAUUUAGAAACA